This is a long non-coding RNA of Macrosteles quadrilineatus (aster leafhopper), 607 nucleotides long. RefSeq lists it as uncharacterized. The record is from RefSeq and is a predicted model, not a curated record. Lineage: Eukaryota; Metazoa; Arthropoda; Insecta; Hemiptera; Cicadellidae. The transcript has 2 exons.
UCGUCGUCUGUUUUUUUUUCAGUGUUUGGUUGUUUUGUAGAAGGGUGGAGUGUUGACUGUUCACUGUUGGUCGUUCGUAUUCCUGUUUGUUUGUCGUCUGUCAAAGAUUUGAGUCAAUAUUUCCGUAUAUCUUUUUCAAUUCAAUAAACCCAUACAUUAGUUAUAUUAUUUUUCUCUCAAAAUGAUGUCAAUGAAUAUGUCGGCAAUUGCAUCAGCAGAGGCCCAAUUUAUUACGACAGGAAGUCGUCCAGCCAAAAAAGAAAAGCUUAGACCUUGUUGUGUUUGCAAGGAAACGAAAAUGGCCAGAGAUGAAUGUGUUCUCAAGAAUGGACAAGCAGCAUGUCAAAGCUACAUAGAAGCCCACAAAGAAUGUAUGAGAAAGAUGGGCUUUCAUAUCUGAAACAUUGUUAACUUAAGUAUUUGGAUUAGGCUACAUUACCACAAUGUAACUUUGUUAAGUUAAAACUUAAUAAUGAGUAUUAUUUGUUUUGAUGUUACAUCAUCCUUCCCGGUACCUAUUAGGUCCUAAUAUCUGUUAUGUUGUGAUAUUGUAGAUUUGUAGUUUAAAUUAUAAGUUUUGUGUGAUAUUAAAACGUAAUUUAUUGAA